RNAcentral lists this ribosomal RNA (301 nucleotides) under uncultured bacterium. RNAcentral describes it as "partial 16S ribosomal RNA". It matches the Rfam family "Bacterial small subunit ribosomal RNA", at positions 509 to 807 of the family's 1533-position model. The record is from RNAcentral.
CAGUAGCCACGGGAAUACGGAGGGGGUUAGCGUUGUUCGGAAUUACUGGGCGUAAAGCGCACGUAGGCGGCUUUGUAAGUUAGAGGUGAAAGCCCGGAGCUCAACUCCGGAAUUGCCUUUAAGACUGCAGAGCUAGCAGGUGAGAGAGGUGAGUGGAAUUCCGAGUGUAGAGGUGAAAUUCGUAGAUAUUCGGAAGAACACAAGUGGCAAAGGCGGCUCACUGGACGACUGUUGACGCUGAGGUACGAAAGCGUGGGGAGCAAACAGGAUUAGAUACCCCCGUAGUCCCUGUCUCUUAUAC